Molecule: ribosomal RNA, 448 nt
Filed under: uncultured bacterium
Lineage: Bacteria
Description: bacterial SSU rRNA
Rfam family: Bacterial small subunit ribosomal RNA
Source: RNAcentral
GGCCAGACUCCUACGGGAGGCAGCAGUGGGGAAUAUUGCACAAUGGGGGAAACCCUGAUGCAGCGACGCCGCGUGAGUGAAGAAGUAUUUCGGUAUGUAAAGCUCUAUCAGCAGGGAAGAAAAUGACGGUACCUGACUAAGAAGCCCCGGCUAACUACGUGCCAGCAGCCGCGGUAAUACGUAGGGGGCAAGCGUUAUCCGGAUUUACUGGGUGUAAAGGGAGCGUAGACGGCAUGGCAAGUCAGAUGUGAAAGCCCGGGGCUCAACCCCGGGACUGCAUUUGAAACUGUCGGGCUGGAGUGCAGGAGAGGUAAGUGGAAUUCCUAGUGUAGCGGUGAAAUGCGUAGAUAUUAGGAGGAACACCAGUGGCGAAGGCGGCUUACUGGACUGUAACUGACGUUGAGGCUCGAAAGCGUGGGGAGCAAACAGGAUUAGAUACCCCAGUAAG